GUCCCCUGGAGCACCCCGUCUCCUCUCUCUCUCCUCUGUCCCUUGGAGCACCCCGUCUCCUCUCUCUCUCCUCUGUCCCCUGGAGCACCCCGUCUCCUCUCUCUCUCCUCUGUCCCCUGGAGCACCCCGUCUCCUCUCUCUCUCCUCUGUCCCCUGGAGCACCCCGUCUCCUCUCUCUCCUCUGUCCCCUGGAGCACCCCGUCUCCUCUCUCUCUCCUCUGUCCCCUGGAGCACCCCAUCUCCUCUCUCUCUCCUCUGUCCCCUGGAGCACCCCGUCUCCUCUCUCUCUCCUCUGUCCCUUGGAGCACCCCGUCUCCUCUCUCUCUCCUCUGUCCCUUGGAGCACCCCGUCUCCUCUCUCUCUCCUCUGUCCCCUGGAGCACCCCGUCUCCUCUCUCUCUCCUCUGUCCCCUGGAGCACCCUGUCUCCUCUCUCUCUCCUCUGUCCCCUGGAGCACCCCGUCUCCUCUCUCUCCUCUGUCCCCUGGAGCACCCCAUCUCCUCUCUCUCUCUCCUCUGUCCCCUGGAGCACCCCGUCUCCUCUCUCCUCCUCCAUCGACUCAGCAUCUUAUGCGGUGCAGCUAGAGGACACGCUUGUUGUGCUCUUGAAGCUCUGUCUUUAAGAAAUGCAGAUUUGAGCGGUUGAUACAAACCCUCUGUCAGGUCUGGGUUUCUGUUUCAGGAUCAACUCUGCUUUCUAAUUUCUACUUUCAUAUUAUUUCCUCACCUGAGAAUCAUGUACUAACUGAAUACUAAACAGCAUCUACUAUAUAUGAUGUUGACCUUUGACCCACUCAAGCCGAGAUAAUCUAUCUCAGUAAUAGAACUGAGUGAAGGUAUUGUAGGACAUCGUGAUCCCCACUCAACCUUAUGAGUGCCUUUUUCAGAUGGACUCAGGCUUGGUGCCCUUUAGACAGAGUGAACCAGUGGCCCAGAGAGCAUCAUGGACUACCACUGUGGAGUGAGGUGAUGGAUACUCGGCUCUCUCUCUGUCUCUCUCUCUCUCUCUCUGUCUGUCUCUUUCUCUGUCUCUCUCUGUCUCUCUCGCUCUCGCAUAAAGCAACACAAUGGCUCUGGAGAAUUAGAAUAUUUUAUGAUUGGGUACAUCCCAUUCAUUUGGACUUGUGUAUCCCUCUAAUAACAGUUUUGAUUUGUAUUCUUUUCUCUUCCAUUCAGUUUGGUUUCAAAUAACACUUUGCCUACAUGUUGUUCAUGCGUUACUAAUUUAACUGGUCAGAUGGUUUGUUUACAUCAUAUGCUUUUAUAUCUAGUUGUUGUUUAGACAAGACUCAUAUCUGCUGUCCAGUGUUCAGUCCUCAUUACCUGGCCCGUAGUGGUUGCAGAAAUGUGACAUCAUAUGUAUAGUAGAGUGGGUAUGAUGGGUGAUGUCCCAGACCAGAUAUAGUAGAGUGGGUAUGAUGGGUGAUGUCCUAGACCAGAUAUAGUAGAGUGGGUAUGAUGGGUGACUGGGGUGAUGUCCUAGACCAGAUAUAGUAGAGUGGGUAUAAUGGGUGAUGUCCUAGACCAGAUAUAGUAGAGUGGGUAUGAUGGGUGACUGGGGUGAUGUCCUAGACCAGAUAUAGUAGAGUGGGUAUGAUGGGUGAUGUCCCAGACCAGAUAUAGUAGAGUGGGUAUGAUGGGUGAUGUCCUAGACCAGAUAUAGUAGAGUGGGUAUGAUGGGUGACUGGGGUGAUGUCCUAGACCAGAUAUAGUAGAGUGGGUAUGAUAUGUGAUGUCCUAGACCUGAUAUAGUAGGGUGGGUAUGAUGGGUGACUGGGGUGAUGUUCUAGACCUGAUAUAGUAGAGUGGGUAUGAUGGGUGAUGUCCUAGACCAGGUAUACUAGAGUGGGUAUGAUGGGUGAUGUCCUAGACCAGAUAUAGUAGAGUGGGUAUGAUGGGUGAUGUCCUAGACCUGAUAUAGUAGAGUGGGUAUGAUGGGUGAUGUCCUAGACCAGGUAUAGUAGAGUGGGUAUAAUGGGUGAUGUCCUAGACCUGAUAUAGUAGAGUGGCUAUGAUGGGUGAUGUCCUAGACCAGGUAUAGUAGAGUGGGUAUGAUGGGUGAUGUCCUAGACCAGAUGUAGUAGAGUGGGUAUGAUGGGUGAUGUCCUAGACCAGAUGUAGUAGAGUGGGUAUGAUGGGUGAUGUCCUAGACCAGAUGUAGUAGAGUGGGUAUGAUGGGUGAUGUCCCAGACCAGAUAUAGUAGAGUGGGUAUGAUGGGUGAUGUCCUAGACCAGAUAUAGUAGAGUGGGUAUGAUGGGUGACUGGGGUGAUGUCCUAGACCAGAUAUAGUAGAGUGGGUAUAAUGGGUGAUGUCCUAGACCAGAUAUAGUAGAGUGGGUAUGAUGGGUGACUGGGGUGAUGUCCUAGACCAGAUAUAGUAGAGUGGGUAUGAUGGGUGAUGUCCCAGACCAGAUAUAGUAGAGUGGGUAUUAUGGGUGAUGUCCUAGACCAGAUAUAGUAGAGUGGGUAUGAUGGGUGACUGGGGUGAUGUCCUAGACCAGAUAUAGUAGAGUGGGUAUGAUGGGUGAUGUCCUAGACCUGAUAUAGUAGGGUGGGUAUGAUGGGUGACUGGGGUGAUGUUCUAGACCUGAUAUAGUAGAGUGGGUAUGAUGGGUGAUGUCCUAGACCUAUGUAUACUAGAGUGGGUAUGAUGGGUGAUGUCCUAGACCAGAUAUAGUAGAGUGGGUAUGAUGGGUGAUGUCCUAGACCUGAUAUAGUAGAGUGGGUAUGAUGGGUGAUGUCCUAGACCAGGUAUAGUAGAGUGGGUAUAAUGGGUGAUGUCCUAGACCUGAUAUAGUAGAGUGGGUAUGAUGGGUGAUGUCCUAGACCAGGUAUAGUAGAGUGGGUAUGAUGGGUGAUGUCCUAGACCAGAUGUAGUAGAGUGGGUAUGAUGGGUGAUGUCCUAGACCAGAUGUAGUAGAGUGGGUAUGAUGGGUGAUGUCCCAGACCAGAUAUAGUAGAGUGGGUAUGAUGGGUGAUGUCCUAGACCAGAUAUAGUAGAGUGGGUAUGAUGGGUGACUGGGGUGAUGUCCUAGACCAGAUAUAGUAGAGUGGGUAUAAUGGGUGAUGUCCUAGACCAGAUAUAGUAGAGUGGGUAUGAUGGGUGACUGGGG
RNAcentral lists this long non-coding RNA (3112 nucleotides) under Salmo salar (Atlantic salmon). Its description in RNAcentral is "lncRNA (ENSSSAG00000095475.1)". The record is from RNAcentral. Lineage: Eukaryota; Metazoa; Chordata; Actinopteri; Salmoniformes; Salmonidae.